GACGAACGCUGGCGGCGUGCCUAAUACAUGCAAGUCGAACGAACCGCGACUAGGUGCUUGCACUUGGUCAAGGUGAGUGGCGAACGGGUGAGUAACACGUGGGUAACCUACCUCAUAGUGGGGGAUAACAGUCGGAAACGACUGCUAAUACCGCAUAGGACAUAGGAUCACAUGAUCCAGUGAGGAAAGGUGGCGCAAGCUAUCGCUAAGAGAUGGACCCGCGGUGCAUUAGCUAGUUGGUAGGGUAAAGGCCUACCAAGGCGAUGAUGCAUAGCCGACCGGAGAGGGUGAUAGGCCACAUUGGGACGGAGACACGGCCCAAACUCCUACGGGAGGCAGCAGUAGGGAAUCUUCCGCAAUGGACGCAAGUCUGACGGAGCAACGCCGCGUGAGUGAAGAAGGUCUUCGGAUCGUAAAGCUCUGUUGUUAGAGAAGAACAGCGCAUAGAGUAACUGUUAUGCGUGUGACGGUAUCUAACCAGAAAGCAACGGCUAACUACGUG
This 502-nucleotide ribosomal RNA is filed under the name uncultured bacterium. RNAcentral describes it as "partial 16S ribosomal RNA". It matches the Rfam family "Bacterial small subunit ribosomal RNA", at positions 28 to 507 of the family's 1533-position model. The record is from RNAcentral.